CGCCGCCUCAGCGCAGCCGGGCGCGCGGCGAUGUUCGUCAGGAAUGGAAACGCGGCCGUGCGGGCCCGUGGGUUUCCAAAGAGCAACCCUAAAACUGGGCGCAGGGCGGUUUGGGCUGUAAAUCCUUUCGCCUACCGUCAACAGUGUUGCUUUGCUGCUUCAAGAGCAGUUGGAGGGCGAGCGUGCUGCUGCUCUCAUGUGCUAGGACUUGUAUCUGUGGCACAGGUUUAUUCAAGAUGAUAAACGGCAUUUAUAGAGUGGUUGGAUCAGAGCAACUUGAAGAACGGGAAGAAUCCAGCACUGACCUCAUCAUAUAUAUACCCUAGGACUUGGGCAGAUAAAAGGAAGCACAGAGCUACUUGAGCAGUCUUCUGCAUCACUGGACACAGACCAGACCCACUAUAAAACCUCGUGUAAGCACUGAAGGAGAUUAUGGUAGGACAUCGUGGAGAGAAGAAGUUGCCUAACUGCAGAACCGCCAUAAAUGAUGCAAGUAGCCCGAAGCCACAUCAAGAGCCAGAAAUAAAAUCUGUUGAUGCGUAACAAGGAAACGUCUAAAGCUCAAAAGAAGGCUACCUCUUUUCAAAAAAUCUGCAGCAAUUAGAAGCAGCUGGAGUUUAAGGAAGGACUGCAAGACUUUAUCUGCCUAAGACUCAACUAAGCACCCACCCAAUGGUACUCCGCAUUUACAUUACGACAACUUUUGGUAUAGCGUUACACAGCCUGUUUGCUAUGAAAAUAUUUGUAAGUUACCCUAAUUUUGCAGUUUUGCGUGAACAUUAUUUGGUAUGCCUGUUUAAAUAUAUAACGCGCGACUCUGAUUUAUUAGAAAAGAAAAAACGGGUAAGGUAUUGCAAAAGCAUUUUCCUCUGUAGAGUAUUAUCUGCCUCUUUCCCUAUCAUCUCUAGUUCUGUGUGACUUCUGUGUGACCGGUUGUUUUCAGAGACAUUAAAAAAAAAGUGUUAGCAACAGAACUUUGUCUAUUUCAGACUUUUAUACCAGCAAAAUAUCUGAAGUUUCUUUAGCAUGAAGUCAAAAUCAAAAUUGGUAAGUGUGUUUUUUGGCUUAAUCACUUAGCAAAAACGUGGAAAACAGCUUGAAACACUUCUUUCUCCUAUGGAACUUUUCCAAGGUUUUCUGGGUCAUAGUAAAAAGUUACACCAGCAGUAGUUGGAAUUGACAGGCGCUUUUUUGGAGACGCUGAAUUGUGUGAUAAUAAAAAUCUCAAGCUAGAUAAAAUUAACCUAAUUUUGGCUGCUUGAUUACAAGGGCAGUACAAAUUAGUACAAAUUCUGUUUUCUAACCUGAGGCCAGCACUGGCUGUGAACUUUAGUAAGUUAACAACUCAUGUUUCUGGACCUCUGUGACUGGAACACGUUGGCCUGCCUGCUAAGGAAUCCCUGUAGGCUCUCUGAAGUCAAUCAGGUAAGGAGAUUACAGCAGCAGUGUUCUGUUAAUCUAGGGAAGCAAGCAGGCUGAACUGGCAAAGUACAUAUACACAGUGUUCAGCAUUACUUCAGAAUUUGGGGAUUGCACGUCUGUUGCCAUUAUUUAAGGACGUUGCAUACUCAGGAUUAACUGACAUUACAGAGAAAUUAGAAGUAACUAACAUGGGCAAGAAAGACACCUCCCAAAAUUGGAAGUAUUUUUCUUAUUUUCUAGAAGUGCGUAAUGAUUGCUAAUACUGAUAACUGAGCCUCCACAAUACCACUGCCUGCAUCUGCUUGUUCAUACAAGCGUGUGCGUGCUUCCCUGGAUGAAGGGAGGAUUUGAAGUGAACUCUGUGGCAGAAGAUGCACUCUGAACUCAGACUGCAUUAUAAAAACAAUGAA
RNAcentral lists this long non-coding RNA (1832 nucleotides) under Gallus gallus (chicken). RNAcentral's name for it is "long non-coding RNA NONGGAT008183". The record is from RNAcentral. Lineage: Eukaryota; Metazoa; Chordata; Aves; Galliformes; Phasianidae.